AUGGCUGCUAACCAUUUGCAUCCGCUCUUGUGCUUAGCGCUAGCCAUGCUUGUUUCCCUCGACUUUUCAUGCGCGCAAACGGGCAUCACAUCUGGGUCCUCCCUGAAGGCCGCCGCAGGCGCCGGCUGGUCAUCCCCGUCAGGCCGCUUCUCCUUCAGCUUCUACGCCACGGAAGGCGGCCUCGCGGUUGGCGUCUGGCUCGCCACCACGCCCAACGUAACCAUCACGUGGACCGCGAACUGCAACGACAUGGCAACGGGCGGCACGCUAAGGCUCGCCGACAACGGUCGUCUCCUCUGGACCGGCGCGAGUGAUCACGACAGGGCCGUCGCGCAGCCAUCAAGGCUGGCUGUGGCGGGCUCCAUGCGGGAUGACGACAACUUUGUGCUGUUUGGCGCUGACGGCGCGGUGGUGUGGCCUGAACACCCUGAUCGCCGGGCAGGACCUCGUGCCCGAGGUGCAGCUCUUCUCCAGCGUGUCCGACACCAACAAGGCCCAACAAAGGCCGUCAAGUACCGACUCGCCAACCAGCAACAGGACGGCAACCUGGUGUUGUACCCGGUGGGCACGCCGAACGACGCAGCCUCGUCAUACUGGAACACGGGGACCUUUACCAAGAACCUGACAGUGACACAGCCCGGAGCCUUAAAAGCUGGAGAGGAAGCCUACUACCGACUCACGCUUGAUCCUGAUGGAGUUCUGCGUUUGUACCGUCAUACCUUCGUGUCUGGUUCUAGGUCUGGCGGUGCGUCCAAUACCACCACCGUCGUCUGGAGCGCUCUGACCAAUCGAUGCCAUGUCCAUGGUGUUUGCGGGCACAACAGCUACUGUGUCCUCGACCAGGAUCGGCCUAGCUGUUUGUGCCCGCCGGGGUUCGAUUUUCUCGACGUGAGCAAUGCGGAGCUCGGUUGCACGGUGAACUCCAGCGCCGGCGACUGUAAAUGGGGGCAGCAACAAGAUGCCGCAGACUUCUCCGUGAAGUUGACACCAAACAUGGAGUAG
RNAcentral lists this ribosomal RNA (1002 nucleotides) under Triticum aestivum (bread wheat). RNAcentral's name for it is "partial small subunit ribosomal RNA". The record is from RNAcentral. Lineage: Eukaryota; Viridiplantae; Streptophyta; Magnoliopsida; Poales; Poaceae.